UUUAACUGCAAUUAUAAGUUUUCGCGUUAAUUUUAAUCGUCCAUCUUUUUUAAAUUAUUUUUAUAAUUAGUUUUUUAUGAAAUGAUAAAACAUGAUUAAAUAGUACUCUACUUGUGACUUAUGUUUUCAGUUUUUUUAAAAAAACAAUUCAAAUAAAACAGACGAUUAAAACUGGACUCGGAAAACUAUGGCUGUAUUUAAA
Molecule: non-coding RNA, 202 nt
Organism: Oryza glaberrima (African rice)
Lineage: Eukaryota; Viridiplantae; Streptophyta; Magnoliopsida; Poales; Poaceae
Source: Rfam